This 534-nucleotide ribosomal RNA is filed under the name uncultured bacterium. RNAcentral's name for it is "bacterial SSU rRNA". It matches the Rfam family "Bacterial small subunit ribosomal RNA", at positions 1 to 501 of the family's 1533-position model. The record is from RNAcentral.
CACUGUGGAAUUCGCCCUUAGAGUUUGAUCCUGGCUCAGAACGAACGCUGGCGGCGUGCUUAACACAUGCAAGUCGAACGCGAAAGGGACUUCGGUCCUGAGUAGAGUGGCGCACGGGUGAGUAACGCGUAGAUAACCUGUCUUCAUGUCUGGAAUAAUACGUCGAAAGGUGUACUAAUACCGGAUAUUCUUGCUUUUCACAAGUUAGGUAAGCAAAGGUGGCCUCUGACAUAAGCUACCGCAUGAUGAGGGGUCUGCGUACCAUUAGCUAGUAGGUGGGGUAAUGGCCCACCUAGGCUACGAUGGUUAACGGGUCUGAGAGGAUGAUCCGUCACACUGGCACUGGAACACGGGCCAGACUCCUACGGGAGGCAGCAGUGAGGAAUAUUGCGCAAUGGGGGCAACCCUGACGCAGCGACGCCGCGUGAGUGAGGAAGGCCUUCGGGUCGUAAAGCUCUGUCAAAGGGAAAGAAGUGCAUAGUGGUUAAUACCCAUUAUGUUUGGACGGUACCCUUAAAGGAAGCACCGGCUAAC